Molecule: ribosomal RNA, 735 nt
Filed under: uncultured Atopobium sp.
Lineage: Bacteria; Bacillati; Actinomycetota; Coriobacteriia; Coriobacteriales; Atopobiaceae
Description: bacterial SSU rRNA
Rfam family: Bacterial small subunit ribosomal RNA
Source: RNAcentral
GAUGAACGCUGGCGGCGCGCCUAACACAUGCAAGUCGAACGAUUAAAGCACCUUCGGGUGUGUAUAAAGUAGCGAACGGCUGAGUAACACGUGGGCAACCUGCCCCUCUCAUUGGGAUAGCCACGGGAAACCGUGGAUAAUACCGAAUACUUCGAGACUUCCGCAUGGAAGACUCGAGAAAGCUCCGGCGGAGAGGGAUGGGCCCGCGGCCUGUUAGCUUGUUGGUGGGGUAACGGCCUACCAAGGCAAUGAUGGGUAGCUGGGUUGAGAGACCGACCAGCCAGAUUGGGACUGAGACACGGCCCAGACUCCUACGGGAGGCAGCAGUGGGGAAUCUUGCACAAUGGGCGAAAGCCUGAUGCAGCGACGCCGCGUGCGGGAUGAAGGCCUUCGGGUUGUAAACCGCUUUCAGCAGGGACGAGGCGAAAGUGACGGUACCUGCAGAAGAAGCCCCGGCUAACUACGUGCCAGCAGCCGCGGUAAUACGUAGGGGGCAAGCGUUAUCCGGAUUCAUUGGGCGUAAAGCGCUCGUAGGCGGUCUGUUAGGUCGGGAGUUAAAUCCGGGGGCUCAACCCCCGUUCGCUCCCGAUACCGGCAGACUUGAGUUUGGUAGGGGAAGGUGGAAUUCCUAGUGUAGCGGUGGAAUGCGCAGAUAUUAGGAAGAACACCAGUGGCGAAGGCGGCCUUCUGGGCCAUAACUGACGCUGAGGAGCGAAAGCUAGGGGAGCAAACAGG